AGAGUUUGAUCCUGGCUCAGAUUGAACGCAGGCGGUAUGCUUAACACAUGCAAGCCGAACGGUAACAGCAGAGCUUGCUCUGGCUGACGAGUGGCGGACGGGUGCGUAACGCGUGGGAAUCUACCUUAUAGUGGGGGAUAGCCCGGAGAAAUCCGGAUUAAUACCGCAUAAUCUCUACGGAGGAAAAGGGGCCUCUCCUUGGAAGCUCUUGCUAUUAGAUGAGCCCGCGUAAGAUUAGCUUGUUGGUAGGGUAAUGGCCUACCAAGGCUACGAUCUUUAGCUGGUUUGAGAGGAUGAUCAGCCACACUGGGACUGAGACACGGCCCAGACUCCUACGGGAGGCAGCAGUGGGGAAUAUUGGACAAUGGGCGCAAGCCUGAUCCAGCAAUACCGCGUGUGUGAAGAAGGCCUGAGGGUUGUAAAGCACUUUCAAUUGUGAAGAAAAGCCUUAAAUUAAUACUUUAGGGUCUUGACGUUAACUUUAGAAGAAGCACCGGCUAACUCCGUGCCAGCAGCCGCGGUAAUACGGAGGGUGCGAGCGUUAAUCGGAAUUACUGGGCGUAAAGCGUACGUAGGCGGUUUAGUAAGUCAGAUGUGAAAGCCCCGGGCUCAACCUGGGAACUGCAUUUGAUACUGCUGGGCUAGAGUGCAGGAGGGGAGAGCGGAAUUCUUGGUGUAGCGGUGAAAUGCGUUGAUAUCAAGAAGAACACCGGUGGCGAAGGCGGCUCUCUGGAAUGUUACUGACGCUGAGGCACGAAAGCUGGGGGAGCGAACAGGAUUAGAUACCCUGGUAGUCCCAGCCGUAAACGGUGCGCACUUGGUGUGGGAAGUUUGACCCUUUCCGUGCCGGAGCUAACGCGUUAAGUGCGCCGCCUGGGGAGUACGGCCGCAAGGUUAAAACUCAAAGAAAUUGACGGGGGCCCGCACAAGCGGAGGAGCAUGUGGCUUAAUUCGAUGCAACGCGAAGAACCUUACCAGGGCUUGACAUGCAGCUGCACGUCCGCCGAAAGGUGGAAAGCCUUCGAGGGUGCUGCACAGGUGCUGCAUGGCUGUCGUCAGUUCGUGCCGUGAGGUGUUGGGUUAAGUCCCGCAACGAACGCAACCCCUGUGUUUAGUUGCCACCGCAGGUGAUGAGCCUGCGAGCACUCUAAACAGACUGCCUGUACAAGCAGGAGGAAGGUGGGGACGACGUCAAGUCAGUAUGGCCCUUACGUCCUGGGCUGCACACGUGCUACAAUGGUCGGUACAGAGGGAUGCAAGACCGCGAGGUGGAGCAAAUCCCGAAAGCCGGCCUCAGUUCGGAUUGGAGUCUGCAACUCGACUCCAUGAAGUCGGAUUCGCUAGUAACGGCGUAUCAGCUACGGCGCCGUGAAUACGUUCCCGGGCCUUGUACACACCGCCCGUCACAUCAUGAAAGCCGUCUGCACCCGAAGUCGCUGAGCUAACCCGCAAGGGAAGCAGGUGCCGAAGGUGUGGGUGGUGAUUGGGAUGAAGUCGAAACAAGGUA
RNAcentral lists this ribosomal RNA (1507 nucleotides) under metagenome. RNAcentral's name for it is "bacterial SSU rRNA". It matches the Rfam family "Bacterial small subunit ribosomal RNA". The record is from RNAcentral.